GGUUGGCUCAGAAGCAGCCAUCCUUUAAAGAGUGCGUAACAGCUCACUAGUCGAGUGACCCUGCGCCGAAAAUGUACCGGGGCUAAGCCUGAUACCGAAACUGCGGAUUGUAGGAAACUAUAGUGGUAGGGGAGCGUUGUAUACGAGCAGAAGCCGUACCGUGAGGAGCGGUGGAUUGUAUAGAAGUGAGAAUGCCGGUGUGAGUAGCGAGAUGUAGGUGAGAAUCCUACACACCGAAAGCCCAAGGAUUCCAGGGGAAGGUUCGUCCGCCCUGGGUAAGUCGGGACCUAACGCGAGGCCGAAAGGCGUAGUGGAUGGAAAGCAGGCGAAAGAUUCCUGCACCCGUAUAUGGAGCGAAGGAGUGACGGAGACGGAUAGUGUGACCCUCUUAAUGGAUUGAGGGCGAAGCGAAGCGGCUGGUUACCAGGCAAAUCCGGUAACUGAAAGGCUAGAGCGUGACAGGUAAGCGAAAUCUUAGGAAAGUAGCGAAGCACAUGAUGACGGCUUCCAGGAAAAGCUUCUGGCAAUGCAUAUGCGGCCCGUACCAAAACCGACACAGGUGGGCAGGGAGAGAAUCCCGAGGUGAGCGAGAGAACUGUUGCCAAGGAACUCGGCAAAAUGACUCCGUAAGUUAGCGAGAAGGAGUGCUUAAGCAAUUAAGCCGCAGUGAAGAGGCCCAAGCGACUGUUUAACUAAAACACAGCUCUCUGCGAAGUCGCAAGACGAAGUAUAGGGGGUGACACCUGCCCGGUGCUGGAAGGUUAAGAGGAUCUGUUAAGAGCGAUCUGAAGCAGUGAUCCGAAGCCCCAGUGAACGGCGGCCGUAACUAUAACGGUCCUAAGGUAGCGAAAUUCCUUGUCAGGUAAGUUCUGACCCGCACGAAAGGUGUAACGAUUUGGGCGCUGUCUCGGCAGCAGACUCGGUGAAAUCUUAGUACCUGUGAAAAUGCAGGUUACCCGCAACUAGACGGAAAGACCCCAUGGAGCUUUACUGCAGCCUGAUAUUGAAUUCUGGUCAUACAUGUACAGGAUAGGUGGGAGACAAAGAGACGUGCACGCCAGUGUACGAGGAGUCGCCGUUGGGAUACCACUCUUGUGUGACCGGGGUUCUAACCUGGUAUCGAGAACAGGUACGGGGAGAGUGUCAGGUGGGCAGUUUGACUGGGGCGGUCGCCUCCCAAAGAGUAACGGAGGCGCCCAAAGGUACGCUCAGAUUGGAUGGAAACCAAUCGUCGAGUGCAAUUGCAGAAGCGUGCUUGACUGUGAGACAGACAAGUCGAACAGGGACGAAAGUCGGGAAUAGUGAUCCGGCGGUGCCGAAUGGAAGGGCCGUCGCUCAACGGAUAAAAGCUACCCUGGGGAUAACAGGCUGAUCUCGCCCAAGAGUUCACAUCGACGGCGAGGUUUGGCACCUCGAUGUCGGCUCAUCGCAUCCUGGAGCUGGAUUCGGUUCCAAGGGUUGGGCUGUCCGCCCAUUAAAGCGGUACGCGAGCUGGGUUCAGAACGUCGUGAGACAGUUCGGUCCCUAUCUGUUGUGGGCGAAGGAGAUCUGCGGAGAGCUGUCCUCAGUACGAGAGGACCGGGAUGGACCUACCGCUGGUGCACCGGUUGUUCCGCCAGGGGCAUAGCCGGGUAGCUAAGUAGGGAAAGGAUAAGCGCUGAAAGCAUCUAAGCACGAAGCCUACUCCAAGAUGAGAUCUCCCAUUCG
Molecule: ribosomal RNA, 1707 nt
Filed under: human gut metagenome
Description: bacterial LSU rRNA
Rfam family: Bacterial large subunit ribosomal RNA
Source: RNAcentral